This 1427-nucleotide long non-coding RNA is filed under the name Theobroma cacao (cacao). RNAcentral describes it as "long non-coding RNA (TCAC_LNC005310)". Lineage: Eukaryota; Viridiplantae; Streptophyta; Magnoliopsida; Malvales; Malvaceae. The record is from RNAcentral.
GAUCGCCAAGGCUGUUAAAUGUCCCAUACCCAUAAACAUGUUUUCGCAUCUGACACACAGCCAUUCCUUGGCGUUGGCUGAGUCUCACUCUCAUGCGAUGGUCCACGUAAAGUGCACUCAAAUCUUUACCUCAGGAGAUAUUUCAUCCAACAUCUCCCUCCGGAGGUAAAUAAAUAACUGAGUUACUGUGCCCCUCUUAUAAGCAGUCCAUGAAAACUCCCACCACUGCAGUGACUAUGGAUUAUUUUAUCUACCACCUGAUUUAUAAAAUCCUUAUCUGCAUGACAUGACAAUUUAUCGCAAUCUAGCCUCUCAAGGCUGAAUACAUAGUAUAUAUAAUUUUGAUACAAAUAUCGACUUUGCCAUUCAUGCUCAAAUAUUGCUAUAAGCCAUAUAAUUUAAAACACAAUUUAUAACACAAGCAGGCAGUCUCCAAUUACUCUAUUUUUAAAACCAGUAUUCAAUUUUUCAUAAAAUUUAUAAAAUUAUUUUAUAAAAUCACAAUUUCUCCUAAAACAUAGUAAUUUACUAUUUAAACUCAUUUUCUAUAAAAUCACACAAUUGUAUAAAACUACUUUAGAUAAUUAAAAAGAUAAUAAGUUUACUCACAGUUCUAGGAGUCGAUGUACUCCUAAUCCCAGUCUUCAAGCAUAAUCUCUGUACUUUUACUAGUGUAAUUUACUCACCACCAAUCCACAAUGUACAAUACAUAAUUCACCACAUUAAUGCUUGACCAUCAUAAAAUCAAUUUAGGCUCGGUGUAUAUGCAUGAUAUGAUAUGCAACUUAUCCGACUACCGCUUAAAUGCGGUGCUGACCUAAUUCGGCCUAUUACCCGAUUAAAUGACAAUUGUGUCUGAUUUGGCUCCAAAUUGCUCCAUUUCAUUUCUAAUACCUCAAUUCACAAAACAUUAUUCAAAUAACACCAAUUUCAGCAUCAAAACCUUCCCAUUUCUUCAUGAAAAAUUUUGGCCAUUACAGUGCACUAACACCGUGAUUUUUCCUACUUAAUUUUCUCACCAUUAUUCAUCAUUUUCUAAGCCAUUUCUCUUGAAAUAAUAACAAUCCAUCACCCACACACAUCAAGGAAGAUUAGGCCAAUGAAGAUUCAUGGGGAAAAUGGAUUCGUUUCUUGUUGUUUUGCUUCUAAAUAUACUAAACUAGCUAAAAACACUAACAUAUCUUAAAAUCAAUUCAAUCCAACAUAUUUCUCUCUCCUUACCUAUUUUGACCGGCCAUGAAUUCAUCAUGAAAACAUGUAAUUUAACUAUGAAAAUUAAGGGAAAAUGCAUAGGUAAGGUAAAUCACUAGCAAAAUCAAAGAAAUUUUACCUUUGCUUGAUCAAAUCCUUGAAUUCCAACACUUUCUCUUUGAUUUUUCCCACCUAGGGUUUGUUCUUCUUUGGUUUCUCUUCUCUUCUGGUUUGGC